UCGGGAAUUUUGGGCAAUGGGCGAAAGCCUGACCCAGCAACGCCGCGUGAGGGAUGAAGUAUUUCGGUAUGUAAACCUCGAAAGAAUGGGAAGAAUAGAUGACGGUACCAUUUAUAAGCUCCGGCUAACUACGUGCCAGCAGCCGCGGUAAUACGUAGGGAGCAAGCGUUGUUCGGAUUUACUGGGCGUAAAGGGCGCGUAGGCGGCGCGGUAAGUCACUUGUGAAAUCUCUGAGCUUAACUCAGAACGGCCAAGUGAUACUGCUGUGCUAGAGUGCGGAAGAGGCAACCGGAAUUCUUGGUGUAGCGGUGAAAUGCGUAGAUAUCAAGAGGAACACCUGAGGCGAAGGCGGGUUGCUGGGCCGACACUGACGCUGAUGCGCGAAAGCCAGGGGAGCAGACG
This 402-nucleotide ribosomal RNA is filed under the name uncultured bacterium. Its description in RNAcentral is "bacterial SSU rRNA". It matches the Rfam family "Bacterial small subunit ribosomal RNA", at positions 355 to 774 of the family's 1533-position model. The record is from RNAcentral.